UCCUGGUUCUUGGCAUUACAAGGGGGCUGCUCUCCAGGGACACAAGACUUUGGAGUCACAAUCACUGAGUGGCUACACAUAUGGCUUUCAUUGCAGGCCGACCGGGACCAGAAUUAGGUCUCUGAAGAAAUUGGAGAGGUCACUUCCUGUGGGGAGCUGCAAUUUCCACAUCAGCUGUAAGCACAGAUGACCCAAGGAGCAGGAGCUCUUCAGCGAUUUGAAAAACCACAACCACAUCUUCACUGAUGCUGCGCGGGGGCCGUGCAGUUCAGAAGUUAAUACGCUGUUUUCGAUCACCGUUACUGGCAGCAGGCAAAUCAAACAAAGAGCUGCAAAUGCUGGAGACCUGGAAGAAGCCAGGGGAGAAAUAUGAAGCAAAAUCCAGAGCAAAAGACACAAAAUGCUUGAGGAACUCUGCAAAUGAAGCAGCAUGUAUGGGGAUCUGUAAUUAGGUCCCCAGUUCGAAAGACUCUUGACCGUACAAUCUUAAACACAAGUCCAGAACAACCCACUCAAAAUGCUGGAGGAACUCAAUAGAUCAGGUAGCAUCUAUGGACAUGAAGAACAUCCAAUGCUUUGGGCUGAGACCUUUUAUCAAGACCGGAAAGGAGGAGCGAGGAAAUGUGAAAUAGAAUCCAAAAACUCCGGGGCAGAAUAUACGGAGAAAGAGAUUGUCAGGACGUCACACAUAAAAUGCUGGAGAAGCUCAGCAGUUCAAGCAGCAUCUAUGGAGAAGAAUCCUGAAGAUGUGUCUUGUCCCAAAAUAUUGACUGUUUUAUCCUCUACGUAGAUAAAGGCCUGAUUUACUACAUUCCUCCAGCAUUUUAUGUAUGUUGCUCAGGAUUUCCAUCAUCUGCUGAAUUGCUUUUGUUUAAGAUUGUGAGGUCAAUGGUCUAAUGUACUUGGGGACCAUUUAAUUAUUUUAUAACUGUGAGUUAUGAGUCUGGUGGCAUCUGCUUUCAGUCUUCUGUUUCUUCCGCUCAGUGGAAGAGGGAAAAAGAGAGAGUGCCCAAGCUGGGUGUAGUCUUCGAAUAUACUGGGUGCUUUUCGGAGGGGUAGGCCGAGUUCAUGGAGGGGAGGCUAGUUACUGUGACAUGCUGAGCUGUGCCCACAACUCUCUGCAAUUUCAGAGUUUCAGAAUCAGA
This is a long non-coding RNA of Hypanus sabinus (Atlantic stingray), 1145 nucleotides long. RefSeq lists it as uncharacterized. The record is from RefSeq and is a predicted model, not a curated record. NCBI's taxonomy places the organism in Eukaryota, Metazoa, Chordata, Chondrichthyes, Myliobatiformes, Dasyatidae. The transcript is spliced from 3 exons.